UCCUACGGGAGGCAGCAGUGAGGAAUAUUGGACAAUGGGUGAGAGCCUGAUCCAGCCAUCCCGCGUGAAGGAUGACGGUCCUACGGAUUGUAAACUUCUUUUGUAUAGGGAUAAACCUCUCUACGUGUAGAGAGCUGAAGGUACUAUACGAAUAAGCACCGGCUAACUCCGUGCCAGCAGCCGCGGUAAUACGGAGGGUGC
This 201-nucleotide ribosomal RNA is filed under the name uncultured bacterium. Its description in RNAcentral is "partial 16S ribosomal RNA". It matches the Rfam family "Bacterial small subunit ribosomal RNA", at positions 337 to 535 of the family's 1533-position model. The record is from RNAcentral.